Long non-coding RNA from Sphaerodactylus townsendi, 524 nucleotides. RefSeq lists it as uncharacterized. The transcript is spliced from 2 exons. The record is from RefSeq and is a predicted model, not a curated record. NCBI's taxonomy places the organism in Eukaryota, Metazoa, Chordata, Lepidosauria, Squamata, Sphaerodactylidae.
CCACUACUCGUGGAUGAGUAGGGAAUCAAACCCAGUUCUCCAGAUUAGAAUCCACCUGCUCUUAACCACUACAUCACACAGGAGGAGGAAGAGGAGGAUUUUAACACACUGAGGCAGAGUAGAUGCUCCUCUAUGAGAAGUCAUGUUUGGUGUUUACCUUGGCAUGCAACUUGCAAGGCAUAUUCCAGCUUAUGAGUGCUUCCUAUAACUAGAAGGCAGGGCUUCUAAUACUUUGAAGAUAACAUUUUUAUCAAGGGCAUCUUUUCAGGAUUGCAACACAUGUCCCAGAACAAGUGGUCCUGUCUGGAAUUCUCUGAUCCUCACCACUGAGAUCCUCUCACCACCAUCCUCGUAACUAAACUAAGUCUUGUCUUCUUGUUUCUGAGUCUAUUGUAUCAAGGCAUUUGGAGAUUGUAAAUAUAUAUAUAGUGUUUUGGUUGUUGUCUUUUUUCCCCCUGUGAUGUGAAAGACCCCCUUCAAAGAAGGCUUUAACUGUCAGUGAUGUAAAUAAAAAUACCUAAGAG